RNAcentral lists this ribosomal RNA (254 nucleotides) under uncultured bacterium. Its description in RNAcentral is "partial 16S ribosomal RNA". It matches the Rfam family "Bacterial small subunit ribosomal RNA", at positions 524 to 776 of the family's 1533-position model. The record is from RNAcentral.
GACGUAGGGCGCGAGCGUUGUCCGGAUUUAUUGGGCGUAAAGAGCUCGUAGGCGGCUUGUCGCGUCGACCGUGAAAACUUGGGGCUCAACCCUAAGCCUGCGGUCGAUACGGGCAGGCUCGAGUUCGGUAGGGGAGACUGGAAUUCCUGGUGUAGCGGUGAAAUGCGCAGAUAUCAGGAGGAACACCGGUGGCGAAGGCGGGUCUCUGGGCCGAUACCGACGCUGAGGAGCGAAAGCGUGGGGGAGCGAACAGG